RNAcentral lists this ribosomal RNA (252 nucleotides) under uncultured bacterium. Its description in RNAcentral is "partial 16S ribosomal RNA". It matches the Rfam family "Bacterial small subunit ribosomal RNA", at positions 524 to 776 of the family's 1533-position model. The record is from RNAcentral.
UACGGAGGAUGCGAGCGUUAUCCGGAUUUAUUGGGUUUAAAGGGUGCGUAGGCGGGAUGCCAAGUCAGCGGUAAAAAUGCGGUGCUCAACGCCGUCGAGCCGUUGAAACUGGCGUUCUUGAGUGGGCGAGAAGUAUGCGGAAUGCGUGGUGUAGCGGUGAAAUGCAUAGAUAUCACGCAGAACUCCGGUUGCGAAGGCAGCAUACCGGCGCCCUACUGACGCUGAGGCACGAAAGCGUGGGUAUCGAACAGG